RNAcentral lists this ribosomal RNA (492 nucleotides) under uncultured bacterium. RNAcentral describes it as "partial 16S ribosomal RNA". It matches the Rfam family "Bacterial small subunit ribosomal RNA", at positions 29 to 507 of the family's 1533-position model. The record is from RNAcentral.
AGUGAACGCUGGCGGUAGGCCUAACACAUGCAAGUCGAACGGCAGCACAUUAAGAGCUUGCUCUUACGGGUGGCGAGUGGCGGACGGGUGAGGAAUACAUCGGAAUCUACUUUUUCGUGGGGGAUAACGGAGGGAAACUGACGCUAAUACCUCAUACGACCUACGGGUGAAAGCAGGGGAUCUUCGGACCUUGCGCGAUUGAAUGAGCCGAUGUCGGAUUAGCUAGUUGGCGGGGGAAAGGCCCACCAAGGCGACGAUCCGUAGCUGGUCUGAGAGGAUGAUCAGCCACACUGGAACUGAGACACGGUCCAGACUCCUACGGGAGGCAGCAGUGGGGAAUAUUGGACAAUGGGCGCAAGCCUGAUCCAGCCAUACCGCGUGGGUGAAGAAGGCCUUCGGGUUGUAAAGCCCUUUUGUUGGGAAAGAAAAGCAGCAGGUUAAUACCCCGCUGUUCUGACGGUACCCAAAGAAUAAGCACCGGCUAACUUCGUG